RNAcentral lists this ribosomal RNA (292 nucleotides) under uncultured bacterium. RNAcentral describes it as "partial 16S ribosomal RNA". The record is from RNAcentral.
GGACUACUGGGGUAUCUAAUCCCGUUCGCUCCCCUGGCUUUCGCACCUGAGCGUCAGAAGCUUCCCAGGACACUGCCUUCGCCUUCGGUGUUCCUCCGGAUCUCUACGCAUUUCACCACUCCACCCGGAAUUCCGUGUCCCUCUGAAGUUCUCAAGUCAGCCAGUUUUCAGCAUCCUUUCCCGGUUGAGCCGGAAACUGUCACGCCAAACUUGGCCGACCGCCUGCGUGCGCUUUACGCCCAGUAACUCCGGACAACGCUCGCCUCCUACGUAUUACCGCGGCUGCUGGCAC